This 367-nucleotide transfer-messenger RNA is filed under the name Solirubrobacteraceae. Its description in RNAcentral is "Palsa-465 sp019244745 Standard tmRNA". It matches the Rfam family "transfer-messenger RNA". From Rfam's summary of the family: Bacterial tmRNA, also known as 10Sa RNA or SsrA, is named for its dual tRNA and mRNA-like properties. Its role is to liberate the mRNA from a stalled ribosome. RNAcentral also lists the same sequence under 1 other name. The record is from RNAcentral. Lineage: Bacteria; Bacillati; Actinomycetota; Thermoleophilia; Solirubrobacterales.
GGGGACGACAGGCUUCGACGUGGUCGGCUCGUGGGGGUGGUCGCGAGUCGAGGUCCCGGGAGGCCUCGUAAAACACCCGGGAAACAAUAAGUGCGGACACGCACAAUUUUGACCUCGGUCUUGCUGCUUAGUCACUGACCUAGGUUCUCUCGGGCCCCGCUCGCCUGUGGCGGGGAUCGCCGGGAUCAGAUAGCAGGCUCACCCGGUGAGGUCCGCUCCAGCCGAUCCGGGGAAAACUUUCGGAGCUGGCCCCCGCCAACCCCGCCGGCGAGGCGAGGCGAGGGCGAGAUUAGAGCGCCGGCUACGCUCGUAGACGCCACCUUGCACGCGAUCGCGGACGCGGGUUCAAUUCCCGCCGUCUCCACCU